CAGUUCGGAUCGCAGGCUGCAACCCGCCUGCGUGAAGUUGGAAUUGCUAGUAAUCGCGGAUCAGCAUGCCGCGGUGAAUACGUUCCCGGGCCUUGUACACACCGCCCGUCACACCAUGGGAGCCGGUAAUACCCGAAGUCAGUAGCCUAACCGCAAGGGGGGCGCUGCCGAAGGUAGGAUUGGCGACUGGGGUGAAGUCGUAACAAGGUACC
Molecule: ribosomal RNA, 212 nt
Filed under: uncultured bacterium
Lineage: Bacteria
Description: partial 16S ribosomal RNA
Rfam family: Bacterial small subunit ribosomal RNA
Source: RNAcentral